RNAcentral lists this transfer RNA (75 nucleotides) under Mycolicibacterium goodii. RNAcentral describes it as "tRNA-Arg". It matches the Rfam family "tRNA". From Rfam's summary of the family: Transfer RNA (tRNA) molecules are approximately 80 nucleotides in length. Their secondary structure includes four short double-helical elements and three loops (D, anti-codon, and T loops). Further hydrogen bonds mediate the characteristic L-shaped molecular structure. tRNAs have two regions of fundamental functional importance: the anti-codon, which is responsible for specific mRNA codon recognition, and the 3' end, to which the tRNAs corresponding amino acid is attached (by aminoacyl-tRNA synthetases). tRNAs cope with the degeneracy of the genetic code in two manners: having more than one tRNA (with a specific anti-codon) for a particular amino acid; and 'wobble' base-pairing, i.e. permitting non-standard base-pairing at the 3rd anti-codon position. RNAcentral also lists the same sequence under 2 other names. The record is from RNAcentral. Lineage: Bacteria; Bacillati; Actinomycetota; Actinomycetes; Mycobacteriales; Mycobacteriaceae.
GCCUCCGUAGCUCAACAGGACAGAGCGGCGAGCUUCUACCUCGCGCGGCUGCGGGUUCGACUCCCGCCGGAGGCU